Molecule: ribosomal RNA, 1245 nt
Filed under: metagenome
Description: SSU rRNA
Rfam family: Eukaryotic small subunit ribosomal RNA
Source: RNAcentral
GAUCUCUUUGAGGCCCGUUAUCGGAAUGAGAACAAUUCAAAUCCUUUAACGAGGAUCUAGCGGAGGGCAAGUCUGGUGCCAGCAGCCGCGGUAAUUCCAGCUCCGCAGGUGUAUAUCUAUGCUGCUGCGGUUAAAAAGCUCGUAGUUGGAUCUGCGUGCUCGGAACUGGUUGGCUCACUGAGUUCAAACUGGUCUCCGGCGCUUUAUUGGCUGGUUUUCCCUUGAUGCUCUUAACCGGGUGUCUUGGGUGGCUAGCACGUUUACUUUGAAAAAAUUAGAGUGCUCAAUACAGGCGUAAAGCCUUGAAUAGUGUUGCAUGGAAUAAUAGAAUAGGACCUCGGCUCUAUUUUGUUGGUUUUCGGAACGCGAGGUAAUGAUUAAGAGGGACAGACGGGGGCAUUCGUAUUGCGACGUUAGAGGCGAAAUUCUUGGAUCGUCGCAAGACGGACGACUGCGAAAGCAUUUGCCAAGAAUGUUUUCAUUAAUCAAGAACGAAAGUUAGAGGUUCGAAGGCGAUCAGAUACCGCCCUAGUUCUAACCGUAAACGAUGCCAACUAGCGAUUCGCAGGCGUUAAACAACGACCUUGCGGGCAGCUUCCCGGAAACGAAAGUGUUCGGGUUCCGGGGGAAGUAUGGUUGCAAAGCUGAAACUUAAAGGAAUUGACGGAAGGGCACCACCAGGAGUGGAGCCUGCGGCUUAAUUUGACCCAACACGGGAAAACUCACCCGGCCCGGACACCGUAAGGAUUGACAGAUUGAGAGCUCUUUCUUGAUUCGGUGGGUGGUGGUGCAUGGCCGUUCUUAGUUGGUGGAGCGAUUUGUCUGGUUUAUUCCGAUAACGAACGAGACUCUGGCCUACUAAAUAGUGGGCGGAUUCUUUCUGUCCGCAACACUUCUUAGAGGGACAAGCGGUGUUCAGCCGCACGAGAUUGAGCAAUAACAGGUCUGUGAUGCCCUUAGAUGUCCGGGGCUGCACGCGCGCUACACUGAAGGAAUCAGCGUGCUUUCUGACCUUGCCCGAAAGGGCUGGGUAACCCGAUGAAAAUCCUUCGUGAUUGGGAUAGGGACUUGCAAUUAUUUCCCUUGAACGAGGAAUUCCUAGUAAGUGUGGGUCAUAAGCUCGCGUUGAUUACGUCCCUGCCCUUUGUACACACCGCCCGUCGCUGCCCGGAACUGAGCCGUUUCGAGAAGAACAGGGACCGUCGUUGAAGGGCCUUAACGGGCUUUUCUCUGAUAGAAACUGUU